This 22-nucleotide microRNA is filed under the name Macaca mulatta (Rhesus monkey). Its description in RNAcentral is "mml-miR-518d-5p". Its record names the gene mml-miR-518d-5p. The record is from miRBase by way of RNAcentral. Lineage: Eukaryota; Metazoa; Chordata; Mammalia; Primates; Cercopithecidae.
CUCUAGAGGAAAGCGCUUACUG